Molecule: ribosomal RNA, 487 nt
Filed under: Bacillus sp. EB6
Lineage: Bacteria; Bacillati; Bacillota; Bacilli; Caryophanales; Bacillaceae
Description: bacterial SSU rRNA
Rfam family: Bacterial small subunit ribosomal RNA
Source: RNAcentral
AGAGUUUGAUCCUGGCUCAGGAUGAACGCUGGCGGCGUGCCUAAUACAUGCAAGUCGAGCGAACUGAUUAGAAGCUUGCUUCUAUGACGUUAGCGGCGGACGGGUGAGUAACACGUGGGCAACCUGCCUGUAAGACUGGGAUAACUUCGGGAAACCGAAGCUAAUACCGGAUAGGAUCUUCUCCUUCAUGGGAGAUGAUUGAAAGAUGGUUUCGGCUAUCACUUACAGAUGGGCCCGCGGUGCAUUAGCUAGUUGGUGAGGUAACGGCUCACCAAGGCAACGAUGCAUAGCCGACCUGAGAGGGUGAUCGGCCACACUGGGACUGAGACACGGCCCAGACUCCUACGGGAGGCAGCAGUAGGGAAUCUUCCGCAAUGGACGAAAGUCUGACGGAGCAACGCCGCGUGAGUGAUGAAGGCUUUCGGGUCGUAAAACUCUGUUGUUAGGGAAGAACAAGUACGAGAGUAACUGCUCGUACCUGACGGUA